This 368-nucleotide ribosomal RNA is filed under the name uncultured Sphingobacteriales bacterium. RNAcentral's name for it is "bacterial SSU rRNA". It matches the Rfam family "Bacterial small subunit ribosomal RNA", at positions 1014 to 1382 of the family's 1533-position model. The record is from RNAcentral. Lineage: Bacteria; Pseudomonadati; Bacteroidota; Sphingobacteriia; Sphingobacteriales.
UACUUCUUCGGACAAUAUACAAGGUGCUGCAUGGUUGUCGUCAGCUCGUGCCGUGAGGUGUCGGGUUAAGUCCCAUAACGAGCGCAACCCCUAUCAUUAGUUGCCAUCAGGUCAAGCUGGGGACUCUAAUGAAACUGCCUACGCAAGUAGUGAGGAAGGUGGGGAUGACGUCAAAUCAGCACGGCCCUUACGUCCAGGGCUACACACGUGCUACAAUGGCCGAUACAGAGGGCAGCUACCUGGUGACAGGAUGCAAAUCUCCAAAGUCGGUCUCAGUUCGGAUCGGAGUUUGCAACCCGACUCCGUGAAGUUGGAUUCGCUAGUAAUCGCGCAUCAGCCAUGGCGCGGUGAAUACGUUCCCGGGCCUU